CCUGCAAGAACUAGGCUAUUGCAAAGAGGCGAAGCAAAAAGCAACAUAGAGAGAGUAAGGAAGAUGAAGAUUAUGAAAGAGGAGAGAGAGCCAGAGGUGGAGAGAGAGCCAGAGGUGGUGGUUGGAGAGGUGGAAAGUGAGGCAUCUGAAAGGCAAUCUGAGAGUGAGGAUGAAGACAUUCAGGAUCAGAUUGAGGGACAGAAUGAGGGACAACCCAACGAGUCAUUGGGACAACCAGAUUCACCAUGCAUAUCAAGUACAGCACCAUCAGAUAUCAGCAAGUGCUUGGACGACACUCCAGUGCAGCCACAUCUGAAGAAAAGAUUCAUUGUAUGCAAAAAUAUAAAUCUUAUUUUACAAAAAAGAGAAACAUGGUUUUAAGAUUUAUUGAGCACAAUUUAUUUUAUGUUUAGGCUAUUGAGACAGAAUGUUUCUCUCAUUGUAUUUAUGCUCAAUGUAUUUUGUUUUGGUUUUAAAUAAACUAAACUAAACAUUUUGAACGCUUAAAUAUUGCCAUGUUUUGUCCAUAUGUGCCCCCCUGAAAAAACACUGGCCCCACCUCGGCCCCCCUAGUAAUUUUGGUCUAGAA
This is a long non-coding RNA of Neoarius graeffei (lesser salmon catfish), 589 nucleotides long. RefSeq lists it as uncharacterized. The record is from RefSeq and is a predicted model, not a curated record. NCBI's taxonomy places the organism in Eukaryota, Metazoa, Chordata, Actinopteri, Siluriformes, Ariidae. The transcript is spliced from 3 exons.